UUCGCCCUUAGAGUUUGAUCCUGGCUCAGAAUAAACGUUGGCGGUGCGCCUUAUGCAUGCAAGUCGAACGGGGUUACGGUUUUCGGAUUGUAACCUAGUGGCAGACGGCUGAGUAACACGUAAGUAACCCGCCUUAGAGUGGGAAAUAACCUGCCGAAAGGCGAGCUGAUGUCCCAUGUGGUAGCGAAGCUUAGGCUUCGUUACUAAAGCUUUCGGGCGCUCUAAGAGGGGCUUGCGUCUGAUUAGCUAGUUGGUGGGGUAAUGGCCUACCAAGGCGAUGAUCAGUAGUUGGUCUGAGAGGAUGGCCAGCCAGAUGGGGACUGAGACACGGCCCCAACUCCUACGGGAGGCAGCAGCAAGGAAUUUUGGGCAAUGAGCGAAAGCUUGACCCAGCGACACCGCGUGAGGGAAUAAGGCCUUCGGGUUGUAAACCUCUUUUCCUGGGGAAGAAUUCUGACGGUACCCAGGGAAUAAGCCUCGGCCAACUACGCGCCAGCAGCCGCGGUAAUACGUAGGAGGCGAACGUUAUUCGGAUUUACUGGGCGUAAAGGGAGCGUAGGCGGUUCCUCAAGUCGAAUGUGAAAUCUUCUGACUCAAUCGGAAGGAGCCAUUUGAUACUGGGGGACUUGAGAGCAGCAGAGGGAAAUGGAAUCUCCAGUGUAGCGGUGAAAUGCGUAGAUAUUGGAGAGAACACCAGUGGCGAAAGCGAUUUCCCAGGCUGCUUCUGAUGCUGAGGUUCGAAAGCGUGGGGAGCGAAGCGGAUUAGAUACCCGCGUAGUCCACGCCCUAAACGGUGGACACUAGAUAUAGGAGGUAUCGACCCUUUCUGUGUCGAAGCUAACGCUUUAAGUGUCCCGCCUGGGGAGUACGGCCGCAAGGCUGAAACUCAAAGGAAUUGACGGGGGUCCGCACAAGCAGCGGAGCGUGUGGUUUAAUUCGAUGCUACACGAAGAACCUUACUAGGACUUGACAUGUCAGAAGUAGGAUUCCGAAAGGAGGACGACCUGUAUCCAGUCAGGAGCCAUCACAGGUGCUGCAUGGCUGUCGUCAGCUCGUGCCGUGAGGUGUUGGGUUAAGUCCCGCAACGAGCGCAACCCUCGUUGCCAGUUGUUUUCUCUGGCUAGACUGCCCCGCAAGACGGGGAGGAAGGUGAGGAUGACGUCAAGUCAGCAUGGCCCUUAUGCCUUGGGCUACACACACGCUACAAUGGGUGGUACAGAGGGUAGCAAAGGAGCAAUCCGGAGCCAAUCCCACAAAGCCAUCCUCAGUUCGGAUUGCAGGCUGAAACUCGCCUGCAUAAAGUUGGAGCUGCUAGUAACCGCAGAUCAGCAUGCUGCGGUGAAUACGUUCUCGGGCCUUGUACACACCGCCCGUCACGUCAUGGAAGUUGGCAAUACCUGAAAUCGAUGGGCUAACCCUUCGGGGAGGUAGUCGCCUAGGGUAGGGCUGGUGACUGGGACGAAGUCGUAACAAGGUAACC
Molecule: ribosomal RNA, 1480 nt
Filed under: uncultured bacterium
Lineage: Bacteria
Description: 16S ribosomal RNA
Rfam family: Bacterial small subunit ribosomal RNA
Source: RNAcentral